RNAcentral lists this ribosomal RNA (305 nucleotides) under uncultured bacterium. Its description in RNAcentral is "bacterial SSU rRNA". It matches the Rfam family "Bacterial small subunit ribosomal RNA", at positions 334 to 656 of the family's 1533-position model. The record is from RNAcentral.
UGAACCUACGGGGCGCAGCAGCGGGGAAUAUUGCACAAUGGGGGAAACCCUGAUGCAGCGACGCCGCGUGAGUGAAGAAGUAUUUCGGUAUGUAAAGCUCUAUCAGCAGGGAAGAGAAUGACGGUACCUGAGUAAGAAGCCCCGGCUAACUACGUGCCAGCAGCCGCGGUAAUACGUAGGGGGCAAGCGUUAUCCGGAUUUACUGGGUGUAAUGGGAGCGUAGGCGGCCAUGCAAGUCAGAAGUGAAAACCCGGGGCUCAACCCUGGGAGUGCUUUUGAAACUGUGCGGCUAGAGUGUCGGAGGG